Pistacia vera is the source of this 1995-nucleotide RNA transcript. It is a transcript of the gene named kinesin-like protein KIN-12B, with no coding region annotated. The transcript has 13 exons. The record is from RefSeq and is a predicted model, not a curated record. NCBI's taxonomy places the organism in Eukaryota, Viridiplantae, Streptophyta, Magnoliopsida, Sapindales, Anacardiaceae.
UCUGACGAACAUCCCCUCGUAUUUUGAGGCGACCAUGUUCGUUCCCUUUCUUGUAAAUCAAUUCUUCUUUUUUGCAUUAUCACACUUUCAAAACAACUUUUCCCUUUUUUCGAUCCUCACAUUCUUAUUCUUUUUCCCCACAAUGUGAAUAAUUCUACAAAAUUCAGAAGUUUACCCCUCUUUAACGGCUACAUUUUUCUCUCCUCUCCUCUUCUUGUCUCCAAUGCCCUCAAUCUCAGCAAUCUUGCCCAAAUUAACAAACCCUACUCUCUCUUCUCUCUCUGUAGUUUACUGAUCGGAAUGAAGCACUUCAUGCAGCCAAGAAACACAAUCUUGAUAGAGACCCACUCAAGUGAGUCGCCAUCUUCGUCGUCUCCAAAUCCUAAUUCAAAAUUAAAGUCAUCGCAGAAGCAAAAGUCAUCCAAAGAAAACGCUCCGCUGUCAGAUCUGAACUCACUUCUUCCACCUUCUCUGGCAUCUUCCAAGAUUAAGAGUCCGCUGCCCCCAUGCCCGCCCAAUCCCCUCAAGCGCAAGCUCGCCACUGAUACAUUUCCCGAGAAUGUAAUGGUUGGGGUCCACAACUCAGUCCAAUUGCGACCUGUAAAUAAGGAAGAGGAACAAGGGGAGAUGAUAGUACAGAAAGUUGGCAAUGAUGCUUUGAAAAUCAAUGGACAGACAUUCACAUUUGAUUCAGUUGCUGACAUUGAUUUGACACAGCUGGAUGUUUUCCAGCUUGUUGGUCUCGCUCUCAUUGAAAAUUGUUUAGCUGGAUUUAACAGUUCAGUGUUUGCCUAUAGGCAGUGCGAUGAAGUGUAUCUAAGACAGGGAAGACCACCACACCAAUUGAGCCUCAGGUUAAUGGUGUUGACUUAGCUGAAAUUGCAGGUGGGGAAGUUGCAAUAAUUCAUGCAAUGGUCCUGAGUUUGUCUUACAACUUAACUUUUCCCUUAAACUUGGUUGUUCUACAGCCAAAGGUUCAUGGACAUCUCAAGAAGCAAGUGCACACUUAAAAUGUGUUUAUUUUCCAGUUACGGAGGGGGGAGAGAGCAUUGAAAUUAUUAUAGAGAAGUUAAAUUCUAAAGGAUGCAGAGUUCCUGAAAACUAUGAAACUUUCAGUCGUGUUGCUAUCUGUUGUCUUGGUCGUCUUCUUCCAGAUGCUCGCUGGGCAUGACUUCCUUUUAUGGAUUUAAGGCAAAAAAGGGAGAUAAGGCUUACCUACUAAGAGAUGUUGCUCAAGAGCAGAAUGCUUCAUUGAUACUGAUACUGGUUUUAAUCCAGCGCCUUCUAAGACGGAUCUAGCACACCAGAAUCCAUUUACCAUAGCUUUGAAGAAUUUUGGUGUUAUUACUUGUAAGGAAGACAAAGAUAUCAAUGUUGAAAUUUAUAGAGCUGGAAAACUAUUAACUCCUUUGCAACUGGAAAAGGAAUAUCAAGACUAGCUUCUGCAGAUGUAUGAUCAUUAUGAUGAACAAAAUAACUUUGGAGCAGAUCAACCAAUUUUUAUCAUUAGCCCCAAAAACAAAAAGUCACUGGGCAUUUCAUUUGAUGUUGCAAGGGUGCACCAAGUACUAAAGAGGAAGGGUUUAACAGGGAAAAGAGGUCAAAGAGUUAAGGUUUUCAAGGGAGCAUGUGCUGGAGUUCAUAAAAACAAUAUCUAUGCAACAAUAGAUUAUUUUUUAAUUGAAGGUCUUCGUGGGGAUGCUGCUGGUAGGCACUGGUUUUAAGACUCUUAGACUUAUAGACCAUGACUAUUAGUUUGCUUUUUAUCAUUUCGUAAUAGGACAAAUGUAUUGUUGACAUGUUUACAUAAUUUAAUCUUCUUGCAAAUUUGAUAAAUUUCACCCUCCCUUUUUUACAUUUCUAAUAGGUGAUGCUCGAAUUAUAUGCAGGCCAAUAGGUCUCAUGGAUAAGGAAGGAUGUGUCCUCGUGGAGAACAAUGGGACUGAUAGCUUGGAUAUUUUUGGCAACUUAUUGUUACCUAUUGGCAUAAUUGAU